UUAUGCAGCGUGCUGUCGAGCGGUUUGAUAAACAGGCUAUUAUUGUUCAGCGCGACGUUACCCGUGGCCUUCACCAGCUCGCCAUCCAGCGGGAUAUCAAGAUGUAAGCGAGCGCUCACGUCGCCAUCAAGCUGGAGCUCUUCGAGGGUCGCCCCCAGUGAUUUGUCGAGCGGCGUCUGCUGGAAAUACGGGCCAACCGCUUUACCAGGACCGUUAAUAUCGGCAUCAAUCAGCAGCUUCUCUUUGGCAUAGUCUGGAAUCGACGCAUUCAGGUUGCUGGCGGUCACGCCGCCAAGCGCCGCUUUAUCCGCCUUCAUCCACAGGCCAGCAUUGAUAAAGUUAAGCUCGAUAUUCAGAUUGGUCAGCGCCGGCCAGUCCGGCUGGAAGGCAAAGGUCGCAUCGUGCAGCGGCAC
This 413-nucleotide non-coding RNA is filed under the name Kluyvera ascorbata. Lineage: Bacteria; Pseudomonadati; Pseudomonadota; Gammaproteobacteria; Enterobacterales; Enterobacteriaceae. The record is from RNAcentral.